CCUGAUUAUCAUCAUCUGGGCACACCUAGAAGAGACUGUUCUUUGUCGUUGUCUUGUUUCUCAACACCUGUGCAUCGCCAGGCAGUUUGAUCCCCUGCUUCCUCUGGGAUUGCAGGCUGCACACAUUCCUGCUCAAAGCUCAAGAGCAUAGCGCCGGGACGUCGGGAAACCUUCCACCCUUCGCAACCUGCCGUGUCAACUCCCAGCAAGCUCAAGCUGCAGUUUACCCUGGUUAAGGAUUGCUUAAACAAAGGCUUGAACAGAAUGAUGUUGACUGUUUCACGAUGAAAAUUAAUAUUUUUAGCUUAAUCCACAUGCCAGUUCUGGAUCAUUUGCAACACUUCUUACAAUUAUUGAUGUCCUUCCCAAAGUCCAUUUCAUGCUCAACUGGGCUUCUAGAUGAUUUUAAAGUUUUGUGUUAUUUUGCUUUGUUUGGUUUUGUUCCCUUGAAAAGAAGACAGUUUGAUUUCUGGGACAAACAUAUUGCUAUGCAAAUACACCCAGAAUAAAUGAAAGAGCCACUCAGACAACCCAUUUUUGCCUCUUCCCUUAGACUUUCAAUUUGACUCCUCUCCAAUGAAAAAGGAUUUAAAGACUUCUUGUGGGGGUCACAGGAGUUCCAGGGGGGCUGUUAGGGAGCCAGCUCUGCAAGGUUGAUGCAGGGAACAAGUUGGCACAUGCUGUUUUAUGUCACGGAAGAGUGACAACCACCAAGAAGCCUAUCGAGCCAGUUAUCGACCCGUAAGGAGUGAUGAGCACAGGACACCCCUUACCUGAAGCCAGCAUCUCAACACCCAUGUGCAGAAGUCCAGUUAUCUUCAUCCAGGAGAUGAGAAGACGAGUUGAGGCUACAAGGCAUGUUUCAGCGGGCUCAUCUAUGCAGCACAGCUUGAGCGUAGUGCAGAUCUUCAGAGCAUACAGCUCAAACGAAGAAGGACUCCCUCUUCCACUCUUCCAUGAUAGCCACAUUCAUGCCUGUAUAUGGAGACACUGUUUGUUGCUCACUACUGGGAGACAUUUCAGCACCCUGCCUUUUCCCCUACGACAAAGUCUACACCUGCUGGAGUAGAGGACAGAGCUGUCCGAGGGCUGCAUCUUGCUGUUUCUCCUGUCUCAUCUGCUACUACUUUUUGCCUUACUUAAAAAAAAAAGUACCUAAUGAAACUUAGAUAAAGAUAUGGAAAACUAUAUGAAGUAUCUAUGUAUUCACCAUGAAGACAGAAGAGAUAUUAAGAUUUUCAUACAUUUGCUGUAAAUAUACCUAAUUUACUGAAACGGCCACCUGCCGUUUCUUCCUUUCUCACUUUUCCCAAAGACAUUAAUGUUCUUAAAGAUUGUAAGCACAUAUAUGUAUACUUUUAAUACAUAGGUGUCUAUGCAUGUCUAAAAUAGACUGUACAAAAUUAUAUAAUACAAUGUUUGAUUAUUUUUAUUUAUUUUUAUUUUACUUUAAGUACUGGGAUACAUGUGCAGAACGUGCAGGUUUGUUACAUAGGUAUACAUGUGCCAUGGUGGUUUGCUGCACCUAUCAACCUGUCAUCUAGGUUUUAAGCCCAGCAUGCAUUAGGUGUUUGUCCUAAUGCCCUCCCUUCCCUUGCCCCCGACCCCCGACAGGCCCCAGAGUGUGAUGUUCCCCUCCACGUGUCUGUGCAGGGACAUGGAUGAAGCUGAAAGCCAUCAUUCUCAGGAAACUAACAUAGGAACAGAACACCAAACACCACAUGUUCUCACUCAUAAAUGAGAGUUGAAAAAUGAGAACACAUGAUUAUUUUAUUUUAUUUUUAAUUUUUAAUUAUACUUUAAGUUCUAGGGUACAUGUGCACAACGUGCAGGCUUGUUACAUAUGUAUACACGUGCCAUGUUGGUGUGCUGCACCUGUUAACUUGUCAUUUACAUUACAUAUAUUUCCUAAUGCGAUCCCUCCCCCUACCCCCACCCCACAAUAGGCCCCAGUGUGUGAUGUUCCUCACUCUGUGUCCAAGAACACAUGAUUAUUUUAGAAAUAUUUUUUCUUACUUGGACUUCAGAUGAAAAGAAUUAGGUAAAUCAUAUUUCACAAUUUAUAGUGUACUAUUGAUAUCAGUUCACACAAAGUCUCUCUCUAAUCUCAUUUUAAUAUUUUCCCUCUUCCCCAUCCCUACAUGAGCCUCCACUUAUAUGCAUGUAAUAUGAAAUAGAGUUUUAAAUAGGCUAGUUAGGGAAAUGUUUUUGGAAAAGAAAUAUUCAAGUAAAGACUUAAGGUGAGUAUAUAUGGUACCCUUGAAAUAACUAACUUCAUCUUAGAAAAGAGUCCAUUUUAUAUCUCACAGUGCUUUGCCAACAAGAAUAUGAUGUUUUGCUUAAUAAACAAAUUUUAAAAAAGACUGCAUCCAACCAGAUAAGGACACCAACAAGCAGACUUUUCCACUAUCAGUACUCACCAGAGGACUCUGUGACUGUAAAAGAGCAGGCCUCCAGCAGCUCGAAAUGGCCCCCUUAGCUGAUACCAUCUUGCAGUCACUCAUGAUAAGAACUUGGCGUCUGCCACAGAAGGCUCUGCCCCAUUAACAAUUCUUCCUUGCAAGACCCGAGACCAUCCGCCCGGCCUAGACCAGAAGUCCUUUUGUCUUCUUCACUCCCUCUGGACUGAUUCAUUAACCCUUUCUCCUAUCUCUUUUUCCUCUUGAUGUUAAAUGUUACUUUGUCGUUGAAUGUUUAACCUAUAACAUUUGUAUAUUAAGUAUAUUAUUAUGUAUGGUUUGCAUUAUUGACUGACUUGUGGAGUGGCUUGAGCCUGUGAGCCCAAGGCUGUGUCUACUAAGUAAAUGGGAAGGGUUAAAGAGAAUUGCCUCCUUGGGAACUCCAUUGUAGCUCAUGGCUUUUGUGAUUGAAAUAGCAUCAAUAAAAGCCUGGCAUUGCAAAA
RNAcentral lists this long non-coding RNA (2902 nucleotides) under Pan troglodytes (chimpanzee). Its description in RNAcentral is "lncRNA (ENSPTRG00000053596.1)". The record is from RNAcentral. Lineage: Eukaryota; Metazoa; Chordata; Mammalia; Primates; Hominidae.